GACGAAUGCUGGCGGCGUGCUUAACACAUGCAAGUCGAACGGAAAGGCCCUGCUUGCAGGGUACUCGAGUGGCGAACGGGUGAGUAACACGUGGGUGAUCUGCCCUGCACUUCGGGAUAAGCCUGGGAAACUGGGUCUAAUACCGGAUAGGAGCCAUUUUUAGUGCGAGGGUUGGAAAGUUUUUUCGGUGUAGGAUGAGCUCGCGGCCUAUCAGCUUGUUGGUGGGGUAAUGGCCUACCAAGGCGGCGACGGGUAGCCGGCCUGAGAGGGUGGACGGCCACAUUGGGACUGAGAUACGGCCCAGACUCCUACGGGAGGCAGCAGUGGGGAAUAUUGCACAAUGGGAGCAAGCCUGAUGCAGCGACGCCACGUGGGGGAUGACGGCCUUCGGGUUGUAAACUCCUUUCGCUAGGGACGAAGCUUUUGUGACGGUACCUAGAUAAGAAGCACCGGCUAACUACGUG
This 464-nucleotide ribosomal RNA is filed under the name uncultured bacterium. RNAcentral's name for it is "partial 16S ribosomal RNA". It matches the Rfam family "Bacterial small subunit ribosomal RNA", at positions 28 to 507 of the family's 1533-position model. The record is from RNAcentral.